Cyanistes caeruleus (blue tit) is the source of this 1287-nucleotide long non-coding RNA. RefSeq lists it as uncharacterized. NCBI's taxonomy places the organism in Eukaryota, Metazoa, Chordata, Aves, Passeriformes, Paridae. The record is from RefSeq and is a predicted model, not a curated record.
UACACCGGACCUAAUCUUAUACCCCUUGAGCAUCAAACUCCAUGCGUACUUUCUGCAGCUAUUUGUUCUCUUUCUGCAAAAGUGCAAGAUUUGUGUGCGGUGGAGUGCGGUGUCAGUGAGCAGCUGCUUCUCCUUCAGCAUGAGUUGUUCAGCACACAGACUUCAUUGGCUACUGCUUGGACAAAACCACCCUGCAAAGCUGAGGCGAGGAGCAGCGAGGACACAGGCUGCCAAAUACAAACCUCCUGUUUCAGUUUAGUCAGAAUUCAACAAAGCAAGAAGAAACAGGCUGAAGAGCAACUACCUAAAUACAUGCAAUAACAUGGAGAGUGGGAAGCGGAACUGAGAGAACAAUAAAUGAAGAAACAAUGAAAAGGUCAAGCACUUAUUCAGAAUUCCUCAUGAAUACCACUGAAGGAAAUCUUGCUUAUAGUGGAAAAACCCAAACAUGAGAUGCAAGUACUACAUCAAAACAGAACAAAGCCCCAUUUUUGUGUCUGUCUUCAGGAGAAUGCACUGAAUUAAAAAAAAAAGGUACAUUUUGUGCAAAUGACGUUGGAGCAUUUGAUGCCAAAACAUGAUCUUCCAUCCUUCCUUUUCAUAUAGUGCUAGUUCAGUCAGAAAUGGGUGGAUGGCAGAACCCUCAUUUGCUGUGCAGGUGAGCUGGGGCAAUACAUGUGUGGUGAUCAUGAUUCUCCAACUGCAGAGUUCCCAGAGCAUCUGGAGCAGAGUGUUCCCUGACUGUGGGGGGCUCACAGGUGGCUCUUGUGCCCACACACAUACUGAGGCUGGGUGGGGGCAGAGGGCAGGUGUGCCCACGUGUAGGUGAAGAGUUUUGAGGAAAAUGGAAGAAGGAAAUUGUCAUCUCAGGGGUUGUGAAGUCUAAUACUAUUUGAGAUACUUUUACAGCCAUCAGACCAAGCUCUCUUGGAAAGGACAAAAGCAAGCCAACAUGGCAUAUUGAAACUCCCAUAUGUGGUACCUUCAGAGAUUCCCUUCAGCAGUGGUGUAUGCCAUCACUACUCCUUACUCAGGAAAAUUUAUGUCCUUUUCUCAAAUAUUCUUCAGUGCUGUUUAAAUCCCUCAUCUUCUCCAUCCCCUUCCUACAGUGCAUAUGUUCCUCUGCUCUCUGGUGGUUCUCCUUCGGUAUGUGUUUCCUUGGCAUGAGGUCCUUUCCUCCUCUGGACUUCCUGCAUCAUCACCUUCUCCCCCUGGCAAUUCUGGCCCCAUUGGUUUUUUGUAUAGAUCUUGUACAGUUUUUUUCUUCAUGAUCUAGAAGAAGCAAAA